RNAcentral lists this unclassified non-coding RNA (542 nucleotides) under Hevea brasiliensis (rubber tree). The record is from RNAcentral. Lineage: Eukaryota; Viridiplantae; Streptophyta; Magnoliopsida; Malpighiales; Euphorbiaceae.
GCAAUUCCAGGGCUUCUGCGACUAACUGUAGAGGGAACAUCUGAAGCUCAAGAAAGAGCUCGAAUGCUCUUAGACCUGCUCAGAGAUACCCCUCAGGAAAAUAAAUUAGCAUCCUCAGUAUUGAAGAGAAUUGUUUAUGACAUUGCUGCUCGAGUUGAUGGCUCUGAUAAAGCAGCUGAAACGGCCAAGAGGCUGCUGCAGGACAUGGUUCAAAGAAGUAUGGAGCAUAGCAUGGACCGAAUCCAGCGAAAUGCUGCAUCUUGUACGCCUUCUGAGAUUUCAUCCACACGGCGUAUCCUGUUGACUUGAGGAGAACAUUUUCGAGUAACGUGGGUUAGAGUUUUAAUGUUUGGCCAGUUAAAACUAUUGUACCCAUUUCAUUGUAAUCAAACAAAGAUGAAUGAACAUACUAAUGUACUGAAGUAGAUUUCACUGGAGUCUACUUUCUUGAGGUGAUAUCUUAAUUGCGACCCUCAACAGUGUGCUGUACAUCCCUCCUGUAUAUAUGAGAAGUCUUUGUUUGAUUACAAUGAAAUGGGUAC